UACUUACUCUCUUCAUCCUAAAAUUCUUGUCUUAGGUUUGUUUAGAAAUGAAUGUAUCUAAAAUGUGACUAGAUACAUUCAUAUUUAGACAAAUCUAAGACAAGAAUUUUGAGACGGGGGAGUACUUG
Hordeum vulgare subsp. vulgare (domesticated barley) is the source of this 128-nucleotide non-coding RNA. Lineage: Eukaryota; Viridiplantae; Streptophyta; Magnoliopsida; Poales; Poaceae. The record is from Rfam.